UACGUAGGGUGCGAGCGUUGUCCGGAAUUAUUGGGCGUAAAGGGCUCGUAGGCGGUCUGUUGCGUCAGGAGCGAAAACUCGGGGCUUAACCCCGAGCCUGCUUCUGAUACGGGCAGACUAGAGGUAUGCAGGGGAGAACGGAAUUCCUGGUGUAGCGGUGAAAUGCGCAGAUAUCAGGAGGAACACCGGUGGCGAAGGCGGUUCUCUGGGCAUUACCUGACGCUGAGGAGCGAAAGUGUGGGGAGCGAACAGG
Molecule: ribosomal RNA, 253 nt
Filed under: uncultured bacterium
Lineage: Bacteria
Description: partial 16S ribosomal RNA
Rfam family: Bacterial small subunit ribosomal RNA
Source: RNAcentral